AGUGAACGCUGGCGGUAGGCCUAACACAUGCAAGUCGAACGGCAGCACAGUAAGAGCUCGCUCUUACGGGUGGCGAGUGGCGGACGGGUGAGGAAUACAUCGGAAUCUACUUUUUCGUGGGGGAUAACGUAGGGAAACUUACGCUAAUACCGCAUACGACCUACGGGUGAAAGCAGGGGAUCUUCGGACCUUGCGCGAUUGAAUGAGCCGAUGUCGGAUUAGCUAGUUGGCGGGGUAAAGGCCCACCAAGGCGGCGAUCCGUAGCUGGUCUGAGAGGAUGAUCAGCCACACUGGAACUGAGACACGGUCCAGACUCCUACGGGAGGCAGCAGUGGGGAAUAUUGGACAAUGGGCGCAAGCCUGAUCCAGCCAUACCGCGUGGGUGAAGAAGGCCUUCGGGUUGUAAAGCCCUUUUGUUGGGAAAGAAAAGCAGCAGGUUAAUACCCCGCUGUUCUGACGGUACCCAAAGAAUAAGCACCGGCUAACUUCGUG
RNAcentral lists this ribosomal RNA (492 nucleotides) under uncultured bacterium. Its description in RNAcentral is "partial 16S ribosomal RNA". It matches the Rfam family "Bacterial small subunit ribosomal RNA", at positions 29 to 507 of the family's 1533-position model. The record is from RNAcentral.